GAUGAAGAACGUAGCGAAAUGCGAUAAGUAAUGUGAAUUGCAGAAUUCAGUGAAUCAUCGAAUCUUUGAACGCACCUUGCACCCUUUGGCAUUCUGAAGGGUAUGCUCGUUUGAGUGUCAUUGUACUCUCACACUCCCGAUCUUUGCAUUGGGUGCAGUGGACUUGGGUUUGCUGCUUCACCGUCGCUUACCUCAAAUAGGUUAGUGCAACUCUUGGUUGGACAUAGUACGGCGUGAUAAGUGUUCUUCGCCGGUGCCUCGCAAAGAGGGUGGCCGAUCGGGAUGUUGUGCUCCAAACCGUCUUCGGACAAUCUCUGACGACUUGACCUCAAAUCGAGUAAGACUACCCGCUGAACUUAAGCAUAUCAAUAAGCGGAGGA
This 380-nucleotide unclassified non-coding RNA is filed under the name soil metagenome. RNAcentral's name for it is "partial contains 5.8S ribosomal RNA, internal transcribed spacer 2, and large subunit ribosomal RNA". The stretch from base 1 to 120 matches the Rfam family "5.8S ribosomal RNA", at positions 35 to 154 of the family's 154-position model. The record is from RNAcentral.